GAUGAAUGCCAGGCUGGGAAAACCUUCAGGAGCCUGGCAGUGCCCAGGAGUGCCUGGGUGUUACGAGAUUGGACAGAGAUCUUGUACCCCAGAUUUGCAGAUUAGCAGAAGUCUCAUGAUCUGCCUCUUUCCUGGUAUGCUGGAGACACUGCUAAAAAUAGAUUUAGAUGGCAAGAGAGGAAGAUGUACCCCUGUGGCCUGGAACUGUCCUGAUAGGUAGAGGAUGCAGCCAGAAAUGCCCUGACCUUGAAGGGGAACACAAAGACACCCACUGUGCAGAUCAUGAUCUGGGAUUUCUAACAGCCAAAGGACAUGACAAGCUCUUGUAGUGAUGCCAGUGACCAACUGAGUCUUCUUGUGCAUCUGCUAUGUUCCUAUUUCUCUUGUGGUGGAAGACAGCAGAAAACCCUGGUCUGGGUGGGACAGAUGAGACCUAAAGCAUGAAGUCCUGUCCUGUUAGCACCUGUGGCCUGAAUUAGUGCCACAGUCACUUCUCACCUCCCUGCACCUUUCUCAGGGUUGGAUGCAAUUAAACAUCAAAUUUUA
Long non-coding RNA from Chiroxiphia lanceolata (lance-tailed manakin), 546 nucleotides. RefSeq lists it as uncharacterized. The transcript is spliced from 3 exons. The record is from RefSeq and is a predicted model, not a curated record. NCBI's taxonomy places the organism in Eukaryota, Metazoa, Chordata, Aves, Passeriformes, Pipridae.